RNAcentral lists this ribosomal RNA (305 nucleotides) under uncultured bacterium. RNAcentral's name for it is "bacterial SSU rRNA". It matches the Rfam family "Bacterial small subunit ribosomal RNA", at positions 333 to 656 of the family's 1533-position model. The record is from RNAcentral.
CUGCCCCUACGGGGGGCAGCAGUGGGGAAUAUUGCACAAUGGGCGAAAGCCUGAUGCAGCAACGCCGCGUGAGCGAUGAAGGCCUUCGGGUCGUAAAGCUCUGUCCUCAAGGAGGAUAAUGACGGUACUUGAGGAGGAAGCCCCGGCUAACUACGUGCCAGCAGCCGCGGUAAUACGUAGGGGGUUAGCGUUAUCCGGAUUUACUGGGCGUAAAGGGUGCGUAGGCGGUCUUUCAAGUCAGGAGUGAAAGGCUACGGCUCAACCGUAGUAAGCUCUUGAAACUGUAAGACUUGUGUGCAGGAGAG